UCUAAUGACUGCCAAUACUGCCACCUUCCA
RNAcentral lists this non-coding RNA (30 nucleotides) under Mus musculus (house mouse). Lineage: Eukaryota; Metazoa; Chordata; Mammalia; Rodentia; Muridae. The record is from RNAcentral.